AUUCCAUGAUGGGGACAUUCUAGGAUGUAGUCUUGGAAGCGGUCUCAUGCUUCUGGAAUGGAUUCAUCAUGUUGUUGCUGGGUCU
RNAcentral lists this small nucleolar RNA (85 nucleotides) under Sorghum bicolor (sorghum). Its description in RNAcentral is "Plant small nucleolar RNA R71". It matches the Rfam family "Plant small nucleolar RNA R71". Rfam says of the family: R71 is a member of the C/D box family of snoRNAs containing the C (UGAUGA) and D (CUGA) box motifs. Lineage: Eukaryota; Viridiplantae; Streptophyta; Magnoliopsida; Poales; Poaceae. The record is from Rfam by way of RNAcentral.